CCUACGGGAGGCAGCAGUGAGGAAUAUUGGUCAAUGGGCGUAAGCCUGAACCAGCCAAGUCGCGUGAGGGAUGAAGGUUCUAUGGAUCGUAAACCUCUUUUAUAAGGGAAUAAAGUGUGGGACGUGUCCUGUUUUGUAUGUACCUUAUGAAUAAGGAUCGGCUAACUCCGUGCCAGCAGCCGCGGUAAUACGGAGGAUCCGAGCGUUAUCCGGAUUUAUUGGGUUUAAAGGGUGCGUAGGCGGCCUAUUAAGUCAGCGGUGAAAGUCUGUGGCUCAACCAUAGAAUUGCCGUUGAAACUGGGAGGCUUGAGUAUGGUUGAGGCAGGCGGAAUGCGUGGUGUAGCGGUGAAAUGCUUAGAUAUCACGCAGAACCCCGAUUGCGAAGGCAGCCUGCCAAGCCAUGACUGACGCUGAUGCACGAAAGCGUGGGGGUCAAACAGGAUUAGAUACCCUAGUAGUC
RNAcentral lists this ribosomal RNA (460 nucleotides) under uncultured bacterium. Its description in RNAcentral is "partial 16S ribosomal RNA". It matches the Rfam family "Bacterial small subunit ribosomal RNA", at positions 338 to 795 of the family's 1533-position model. The record is from RNAcentral.